Molecule: long non-coding RNA, 5217 nt
Organism: Passer domesticus (house sparrow)
Lineage: Eukaryota; Metazoa; Chordata; Aves; Passeriformes; Passeridae
Exons: 4
Source: RefSeq, a predicted model, not a curated record
GGGGGGGGGGUUGGGCCCUAUAUGGGACCUAUAGGGGAUUUUGGGGGGAGAUUUUGGGGUCUAUAAGGGAUUUUUGGAAGGGUUGGGCCCUAUAUGGGACCUAUGGGGUCUGUAGGGGAUUUUGGAGGGAGAUUUUGGGGUCUAUAAGGGAUUUUGAAAGAGAUUUUGGGGUCUAUAGGGGAUUUUUGGGAGGGAGGUUGGGCCCUAUAUGGGGGCUCUAUGGGAUUUUGGGGGAGAUUUUGGGGUCUAUAAGGGAUUUGGGAGGGGUUGGGCCCCACAUGGGACCUAUGGGGUCUAUAGGGGAUUUUUGGGGGAGAUUUUGGGGUCUAUAGGGGAUUUUUGGGAGGGAGCUUGGGCCCUAUAUGGGACCUAUAGUGGAUUUUUGGGGAGAUUUUGGGGUCUGUGGGGGAUUUUGGGGGGGGCCUGGGCCCUAUAUGGGACCUGUGGGGUCUAUAGGGGAUUUGGGGAGGGGCUGGACCCUAUAUGGGACCUAUGGGGGAUUUUGGGGGGGGAUUUUGGGGUCUAUAAGGGAUUUUUGGGAGGGUUGGGCCCUAUAUGGGACCCUGUGGGACCUAUAGGGGAUUUUUGGGGUCUAUAGGGGUUUUUUGGGGGGAGAUUUUGGGGUCUAUAGGGGAUUUUUGGAAGGGUUGGGCCCCAUAUGGGACCUGUGGGGUCUAUAGGGGAUUUUUGGGAGGGUUGGGCCCCUAUAUGGGACCUAUAGGGGAUUUUUGGGGGGGAUUUUGGGGUCUAUAGGGGAUUUUGGGGGGGUUUGGGCCCUAUAUGGGACCUGUGGGGGCUAUAGGGGAUUUUGGGGGAGAUUUUGGGGUCUAGAGGGGAUUUUUGGGAGGGGUUGGGCCCUAUAUGGGACCUGUGGGGGGGAUUGGAGGGGUCUAUAGGGGACUUGGAGGGGGUUGUGGGGCUAUAGGGGACGUUUGAGGGGUUCUAUAGGGGAUUUGGUUGGGCUUGGGUUCUAUAGGGGACUCUUGGGGGGUCUGGGGGACCUUAUGGGGUCUGUGGGGUCUAUAGGGGACCCUGGGGCUCUAUAGGGGCUCUAUGGGGGGGGUUAAAGGGAUUGUUUGGGGUCCUAUAUGGGACCUAUGGGUGGGUUAUGGGAUCUAUAGGGAAAAGUGAGCGGGUUGUGGGAUCUGUAAGGGAUUGGGGGGGGUAUGGGGUCUAUAGGGGAUAUUGGGGGGUUAUGGGGUCUGUAGGGGACGUUUGGGGUCUAUAAGGGGCGGUUAAAGGGAUUUUGGGGGGUCCUAGAUGAGACCUGUGGGGGGAGUUCCGGGAUCUAUAGGGGACAUUUGGGUUCUAUAGGGGAUGGGGGGGGUUUGGGGGUUCUAUAGGGGAUGUGGGGGUUCUAUAGGGGGUUUGAGGGGGUUUUGGGGUCUAUAGGGGACAUUGGGGCCCUAUAGGGGCUCUGUAAGGGGGGGUCUGUAGGAUUCCAUAGGGGAUCUAUAAGGGAUCCAUGGGGAAUCCAUAGGGGUCCCAAAGCUGAUCCAUAGGGGAUCUAUAGGGGACCCAUUGGGGAUCUAUAUGGGAUCCAUAGGGGCUGCCAUGGGGGAUCUGUGGGGGAUCUAUAAGGGCUCCCCAUAGGGGUUCCCAUAGGGGAUCUGUACAGGCUCCCAUAGGGAACGUAUAGGGUACCUAUAGGGGAUCCAGUGGGGUUCCCAUAGGGGAUCUGUAGGGGAUCCAUCGAGGCUUCCAUAGGGGCUCCUGGGGGGGAUCCAUAUGGGAUCUGUGAGGGAUCCAUAGGGGCUCCCGUGGAUGAUCUAUAGGUGACUCCAUAGGGGCUUCACAGGGCAUCCAUAGAUGAUCCAUAGGGGAUCCAUAGGCAAUCCAUGGACUAUCUAUAGGGGAUCCAUAGGGCUCCCCUGGGUGAUCCAUAGGGGCUCCCAUAGAUGAUUCUAUAGGGGAUCCAUAGAUGAUUCCAUAGGGGAUCUAUAGGUGAUCCAUAGACUAUCUAUAGGGGAUCCAUAGGGCUCCCACUGGGGAUCCAUAGGUGAUUCCAUAGGGGCUCCCUUUGGGGAUCCAUAGGUGAUCUAUAGGGGAUCCUUAGGUGAUCUAUAGGGGAUCCAUAGGUGAUCUAUAGGGGAUCCAUAGGUGAUCUAUAGGGGAUCCAUAGGUGAUCUAUAGGGGAUCCUUAGGCGAUCCAUAGGGGCUCCACAGGUGAUUCCAUUGGUGAUCUAUAGGGGAUCCAUAGGACUCCCAUUGGUGAUCCAUAGGGGAUCUAUAGGGCUCCCAUUGGGGAUCCAUAGGGGCUCCAUAGGCGAUCCAUAGGUGCUCCAUAGGCGCUCCAGGGCCCCGCUCCCCAGCGGGGGGCGCUGUCCCGUGCGCCGCCCCCGGGGCCGAGGCCACAGCAAGGCCGGGGUCACCUACGGCCGGGGCCGUAUGGAUCCCAUAGGGGACCCUGCCCUCCGGGGGACCCCGCGGGGGAUCCGCCGCGGCCCCGGCACACGCCGGCCCCUACACACCCUAUGGAUCCUGUAGGGGAUCCCACACAUCCCCUGUAGGAAAUCUGAAAUUCCCCUAUGGAAAAUCCCAAAUUGCCCUAUAGAAAGUCCCAAAUUCCAUAUGGAAAAUCCCAAAUUGCCCUAUGGAAAAUUCCCAAAUCCCCUAUGGAAAAUCCCAAAUUCCCUGUAGGGAAUCCCAAAUUCCCUAUAGAAAGUCUUAAAUUCCCUAUGGGAAAUCCCAAAUCCCCUAUGGAAAAUCCCAACUUCCCCUAUGGAAAAUCCCAAAUCCCCUAUAGAAAUUCCCAAAUACCCUAUAGAAAGUCCCAAAAUUCCUAUGGAAAAUCCCAAUUCCCUAUAGAAAAAUCUCAAAUUCCCUAUAGAAAAUCCCCAAAUCCCCUAUAGAAAUUCCCAAAUCCCCUAUGGAAAAUCCUGAAUUCCCUAUGGAAAAUCCCAAAUUCCCUAUAGAAGAUCUCAGAUCCCCUAUAGGAAAAUCCAAAAUUCCCUAUGGGAAAUCCCAAAUUCCCUAUAGAAAAUCCCAAAAUUCCUAUGGAAAAUCCCAAAUUCCUUAUAGAGGAUCCCAAAUCCCCUAUAGAAAAUUCCAAAUUCCCCUAUAGAAAGUCCUACAUUCCCUAUAGAAAACCACAACUUCCUUAUAGAAAGUCCCAAAAUUCCUCUGGAAAAUCCCAGUUCCCUAUAGAAAAAUCUCAAAUCCCCUAUAGAAAUUCCCAAAUUCCCCUACAGAAAACCCCAAAUUCCCUAUGGAAAAUCACAAAUUCCUUGUAGAAAAUUCCCAAAUUCCCCUGUGGAAAAUCCAAAAUUCCCCUAUAGAAAACCCCAAAUCCCCUAUAGAAACUCCCCUAUGGAAAAUCCCAAUGGAAAACCCCAAAUCCGAGCACAGGUCGAGGCCACCGAGGGACAAAAUCUGGAGAAAAAAAAUUGGAAUUUUGGAGCUUUUUUUGGAGUUUUUUUUAGGAAUUUUUUGAGCCUUUUUUAGGGAAUAUUUGGGAUUUUUUGGGCAUUUUUCCCUCCUUUUUUUGAGAUUUUUUUUGCUUUUUUUUGAGCUUUUAAAGAACUUUUUGUUCAAAUUUUUUCACCCUUUUUAGGGCUUUUUUUAUUAGUUUGGGGUUUUAUUUUUUAACCUUUUUGGAGCUUUUUUUUUUUUCCUUUUUUAAGAUUUUUUUUCAUCUUUUCAGGGAAAAUUUCCCAUUUUUAAUAAAAAUCCUUCAUUUCACUGCAUUUCCUUCCUUUAAAUAAACCUUAAUAAAGAUUUCCAUUUAAAUUUAUUUAAUCGAAUUCUUUCUUUCCCUCCAAAACUCCCAAUUUCCCCCCAAAAAUCCCCAUUUUUUCCCCAAAAAUCCCCUUUUUUUUCCCCAAAAAAAUCCCUUUCCCCCCCCAAAAUUCCCCUCUUUCCCCCCCAAUAAAAAUCCCCUUUUUUCCCUCUAUAACUCCCGGGAAUUUCCCCAUAAAAUUCCCGCGUUUUCCCCCCAAAAUUCCCAAUUUUUUUCCCCCGGGAAUGACGCAAAAUCCGUGACUCAAAAAUCGGGAAUUUCCCCCACGUGGGCGUGGCCUCCUCAAGCCCCGCCCCCUCCGCUCUCCACCAAUCAAAUCCAUUGUGGGCGUGGUUUUCACCCCCUGUUAUAACCCCGAGGCCGCGGGUUCGAAUCCCGGCAUUUCCUUUCCGCCAUGUCGAUGGUCGCGGCGGUCGCGGCCACCGCGAGGUGUCCGGGGCGGAUUUGGGGACAUCCCGAGGGUGUCCCCAAGGGGGUGGCACCGUCCCCACCUCGUCACUUCACCUUCGAACCCCUCCCGCCGCCCCCCGGCCCCUCCAGGCCUCGGCGGCGGCAUCGCCGCGUUCUUUACCCGCCCGCUGUGCGCCGCCCCCUCCCCUCGGAAGAACCCAGCGCCGCCAAGCGACUCCUGCUGCUCCUCCUGGCCGUGGUGGGCACCCAAAUCUACAACGCGCCGGGUGACGUCGCCGAUUGUCACCUCGGGGGGGACAAGGACCCCCCUGGGGACACCCCCAGUCCCAGAGGGACCCCAAAUCCCCAACGGCACAGCGGUGGCGGCACCCAUGGGUGGCUCCUGCCCCUCGGUGUUGGCGUCACCUCCGUUGUCACCUUUGUCGCCGCCUGUGUCGCCCCCUGCUGGCAGCAGGACACGAUGAGGACCCCCCCCCAAAUUGGGGGUGGCGCCCAGGACGGCCACGCCCCCCUGGAUUAAUUAACGAGGUCGUUAAUUAAGGUCGGAGAGCUCCGGGUUGGAAGAAGACGCCGGCGUUGGACGAUCCCAGUUUGGAACUGGGAGGACUGGAAAGGGGCGGAGUCACGGAUUGAGGGGGGGUUUUGCCAUUCCCUGAUUAAUUAGCUGGUUAAUUAACCGCUAAUUAAUGACCAGCUCGUUAAUUAGCUGCCAGUUAAGGUGGGAACAAGCCCCAUGCUGGAAUUUUGAGGUUGCCCAAUCCCAGUUUGGCACUGGGAGCACUGGAAAGGGGCGUGGUCAGGUUGGCCUCGUUAACGAGGUUUUAAUUAACGAGGUCACCUCUACCUCAGCUUCAGCACCUGUGGCUGCUGAAUUUAUUAAUUAUUUAUUGCUAAUUAUUUAUUUGCUAUUUAUUUAUUAUUUAUUUGUCAUUAUUUAUUUGCCAUUAUUUAUUUGUUGCUAUUUAUUAAUUAUUUAUUGAUUAAUUACCUCUGGAUUAUUUAUUGCGAUCCCAUUUCAGGGGCCUUAUUUAAUGUUUUUAAUUAAUUAAACUCAUCAAUUGAAUUAA